GAAUCGCCGCCUCUUGCGGAUUUUUCCUGCUCGAAUCCGCCACCGUCCGCUUGUGCUCAGGACCUCCCGUUACCCCGUCUAUGCCACAGAGCGCGUGCUGCCCUGUCCUGCACCAACAUCCAGCACCAUGUCUUGUUGAAACACAGUACCCACAAGGAGCAUUGCAACGAGCUGGGAGUUCUUGCGGCUGGCUCCUGCGGCUGUCACUGCAAGUCAUGCUCUUCAUUGCGUGAAGCAGCCGAGCACAAGUGUGCACAACAUGAAUUAAGGUGCGGAGAUGAAGAGCUCACUUUUCGUAAUCCGCGGAGUUCACUUCUCCUAAUUCGUGAAGAAAUGUAGCUACACUGGGGGUUCACUCGUGUAUCCUCGACAGUCUAGCGGGCUUCUCGAAGGAGUCCAGCACGCGACCGCACCCCGAAGUCCACCUGCAGCUCCGUGGAUACUCAGGCGGACCGCUGCCAGAUAACUUCACUCACGUCAUGGAAGCAAUAAUGUCUUAGGAGUCCACGGCUUUGGCGAGUCUCUCAUG
Non-coding RNA from Lolium perenne, 529 nucleotides. The record is from RefSeq and is a predicted model, not a curated record. Lineage: Eukaryota; Viridiplantae; Streptophyta; Magnoliopsida; Poales; Poaceae.